RNAcentral lists this ribosomal RNA (429 nucleotides) under uncultured bacterium. RNAcentral describes it as "bacterial SSU rRNA". It matches the Rfam family "Bacterial small subunit ribosomal RNA", at positions 355 to 775 of the family's 1533-position model. The record is from RNAcentral.
UCGAGAAUCAUUCGCAAUGGGCGCAAGCCUGACGGUGCGACGUCGCGUGGAGGAUGAAGGUCUUCGGAUUGUAAACUCCUGUCAUGUGGGAUAAAUGGCCAGGGCAUGAAUAGUGCCUUGGAAUGAUAGUACCACAGGAGGAAGGGACGGCUAACUCUGUGCCAGCAGCCGCGGUAAUUCAGAGGUCCCGAGCGUUGUUCGGAUUUACUGGGCGUAAAGGGAGCGUAGGCGGUUUGGUGUGUCGAAUGUGAAAGCCCACAACUCAACUGUGGAAUGGCAUUCGAAACUACUGAGCUAGAGUACUGGAGAGGAGAGCGGAAUUCUUGGUGUAGCGGUGAAAUGCGUAGAUAUCAAGAGGAACACCGGUGGCGAAGGCGGCUCUCUGGACAGAUACUGACGCUGAGGCUCUAAAGUUAGGGGAGCAAACAG